UGGCUCAGAACGAACGCUGGCGGCAUGCCUUACACAUGCAAGUCGAACGGCAGCAUGGAGGAGCUUGCUCCUCUGAUGGCGAGUGGCGAACGGGUGAGUAAAGCAUCGGAACGUGCCGUGUAGUGGGGGAUAACGUAGCGAAAGUUACGCUAAUACCGCAUACGCACCGAGGUGGAAAGCAGGGGAUCGCAAGACCUUGCGCUAUACGAGCGGCCGAUGUCAGAUUAGCUAGUUGGUAGGGUAAAGGCCUACGAAGACGACGAUCUGUAGCGGGUCUGAGAGGAUGAUCCGCCAC
RNAcentral lists this ribosomal RNA (295 nucleotides) under uncultured bacterium. RNAcentral's name for it is "partial 16S ribosomal RNA". It matches the Rfam family "Bacterial small subunit ribosomal RNA", at positions 20 to 311 of the family's 1533-position model. The record is from RNAcentral.